Molecule: microRNA, 21 nt
Filed under: Oryza sativa (Asian cultivated rice)
Lineage: Eukaryota; Viridiplantae; Streptophyta; Magnoliopsida; Poales; Poaceae
Description: osa-miR395t
Gene: osa-miR395t
Source: miRBase by way of RNAcentral
GUGAAGUGUUUGGGGAAACUC